This 337-nucleotide unclassified non-coding RNA is filed under the name soil metagenome. RNAcentral describes it as "partial contains 5.8S ribosomal RNA, internal transcribed spacer 2, and large subunit ribosomal RNA". The stretch from base 1 to 120 matches the Rfam family "5.8S ribosomal RNA", at positions 35 to 154 of the family's 154-position model. The record is from RNAcentral.
GAUGAAGAACGUAGCGAAAUGCGAUAAGUAGUGUGAAUUGCAGAAUUCAGUGAAUCAUCGAAUCUUUGAACGCACAUUGCGCCCCUUGGUAUUCCAUGGGGCAUGCCUGUUCGAGCGUCAUUUGUACCUUCAAGCCUUGCUUGGUGUUGGGUGUUUGUCUCGCCUCUGCGCGCAGACUCGCCUCAAAACAAUUGGCAGCCGGCGUAUUGAUUUCGGAGCGCAGUACAUCUCGCGCUUUGCACUCAGAACGACGACGUCCAAAAGUACAUUUUUACACUCUUGACCUCGGAACAGGUAGGGAUACCCGCUGAACUUAAGCAUAUCAAUAAGCGGAGGA